AUUGAACGCUGGCGGCAGGCUUAACACAUGCAGGUCGAGCGGGGAAGGUAGCUUGCUACCGGACCUAGCGGCGGACGGGUGAGUAAUGCUUAGGAAUCUGCCUAUUAGUGGGGGGCAACAUCUCGAAAGGGAUGCUAAUACCGCAUACGUCCUACGGGAGAAAGCAGGGGAUCUUCGGACCUUGCGCUAUAGAUGAGCCUAAGUCGGAUUAGCUAGUUGGUGGGGUAAAGGCCUACCAAGGCGACGAUCUGUAGCGGGUCUGAGAGGAUGAUUCGCCAAACUGGGACUGAGACACGGCCCAGACGCCUACGGGAGGCAGCAGUGGGGAAUAUUGGACAAUGGGGGGAACCCUGAUCCAGCCAUGCCGCGUGUGUGAAGAAGGCCUUAUGGUUGUAAAGCACUUUAAGCGAGGAGGAGGCUACUUUAGUUAAUACCUAGAGAUAGUGGACGUUACUCGCAGAAUAAGCACCGGCUAACUCUGUGCCAGCCGCCGCAGUAA
This 499-nucleotide ribosomal RNA is filed under the name uncultured bacterium. Its description in RNAcentral is "partial 16S ribosomal RNA". It matches the Rfam family "Bacterial small subunit ribosomal RNA", at positions 30 to 523 of the family's 1533-position model. The record is from RNAcentral.